RNAcentral lists this ribosomal RNA (300 nucleotides) under uncultured Halogeometricum sp. RNAcentral's name for it is "bacterial SSU rRNA". It matches the Rfam family "Bacterial small subunit ribosomal RNA", at positions 496 to 795 of the family's 1533-position model. Lineage: Archaea; Methanobacteriati; Methanobacteriota; Halobacteria; Halobacteriales; Haloferacaceae. The record is from RNAcentral.
UGUAACUACGCGCCGGCGGAGGAGGUAAUAGGUAGUAAGCAAGUGUGUUUUGGCAUUACUGGGCGGUAAGAGUGUGUAGGCGGGGUUGUAAGUCUGGUGUGUGAGCUGCCGGUUCAACUGGGAGGGUGCGCCGGAAACUGGAAUGCUGGAGUAUGGGAGAGGUAAGCGGAAUUCCUGGUGUAGCGGUGAAAUGCGUAGAUAUCAGGAGGAACACCUGUGGUGUAGACAGCUUACUGGACCAUCACUGACGCUGAGACACGAAAGCGUGGGUAGCAAACAGGAUUAGAUACCCGGGUAGUC